RNAcentral lists this ribosomal RNA (429 nucleotides) under Acidobacteriota bacterium. RNAcentral's name for it is "Acidobacteria bacterium partial 16S ribosomal RNA". It matches the Rfam family "Bacterial small subunit ribosomal RNA", at positions 355 to 776 of the family's 1533-position model. The record is from RNAcentral. Lineage: Bacteria; Pseudomonadati; Acidobacteriota.
UGGGGAAUUUUGGACAAUGGGGGAAACCCUGAUCCAGCCAUCCCGCGUGUGCGAUGAAGGCCUUCGGGUUGUAAAGCACUUUUGGCAGGAAAGAAACGUCAUGGGUUAAUACCCCGUGAAACUGACGGUACCUGCAGAAUAAGCACCGGCUAACUACGUGCCAGCAGCCGCGGUAAUACGUAGGGUGCAAGCGUUAAUCGGAAUUACUGGGCGUAAAGCGUGCGCAGGCGGUUCGGAAAGAAAGAUGUGAAAUCCCAGAGCUCAACUUUGGAACUGCAUUUUUAACUACCGGGCUAGGGGGUGUCAGAGGGAGGUGGAAUUCCGCGUGGAGCAGUGAAAUGCGUAGAUAUGCGGAGGAACACCGAUGGCGAAGGCAGCCGCCUGGGAUAACACUGACGCUCAUGCACGAAAGCGUGGGGAGCAAACAGG